This 292-nucleotide ribosomal RNA is filed under the name uncultured prokaryote. RNAcentral's name for it is "partial 16S ribosomal RNA". It matches the Rfam family "Bacterial small subunit ribosomal RNA", at positions 505 to 796 of the family's 1533-position model. The record is from RNAcentral.
GUGUCAGCAGCCGCGGUAAUACGGGGGAUGCAAGCGUUAUCCGGAUUUAUUGGGUUUAAAGGGUGCGUAGGCGGUUUCUUAAGUCAGCGGUGAAAUUUAGGGGCUCAACCUCUACCGUGCCGUUGAUACUGGGAGGCUUGAAUGCGGAUGCCGUGGGAGGAAUGUGUGGUGUAGCGGUGAAAUGCAUAGAUAUCACACAGAACACCGAUUGCGAAGGCAUCUCACGAAUCCGCUAUUGACGCUGAUGCACGAAAGCGUGGGGAUCAAACAGGAUUAGAAACCCGGGUAGUCC